This 495-nucleotide ribosomal RNA is filed under the name uncultured bacterium. RNAcentral's name for it is "partial 16S ribosomal RNA". It matches the Rfam family "Bacterial small subunit ribosomal RNA", at positions 28 to 505 of the family's 1533-position model. The record is from RNAcentral.
GAUGAACGCUGGCGGCGUGCCUAAUACAUGCAAGUCGAGCGAACAGACGAGGAGCUUGCUCCUCUGACGUUAGCGGCGGACGGGUGAGUAACACGUGGAUAACCUACCUAUAAGACUGGGAUAACUUCGGGAAACCGGAGCUAAUACCGGAUAAUAUAUUGAACCGCAUGGUUCAAUAGUGAAAGACGGUUUUGCUGUCACUUAUAGAUGGAUCCGCGCCGCAUUAGCUAGUUGGUAAGGUAACGGCUUACCAAGGCAACGAUGCGUAGCCGACCUGAGAGGGUGAUCGGCCACACUGGAACUGAGACACGGUCCAGACUCCUACGGGAGGCAGCAGUAGGGAAUCUUCCGCAAUGGGCGAAAGCUUGACGGAGCAACGCCGCGUGAGUGAUGAAGGUCUUCGGAUCGUAAAACUCUGUUAUUAGGGAAGAACAAAUGUGUAAGUAACUAUGCACGUCUUGACGGUUCCUAAUCAGAAAGCCACGGCUAACUACG